AAUCAACGCUGGCGGCGUGCCUAACACAUGCAAGUCGAACGCGAAAGCCCUUUCGGGGGUAAGUAGAGUGGCGUCCGGGUGAGUAACACGUAGGUAAUCUGCCUUCGGGUGGGGAAGUAACCAGUCGAAGAUUGGCUAAUACCGCAUAAUGCAGCGGCACCUAAUGGUGAUUAGUUGUUAAAGCGGGGGAGUCGUAAGACCUCGCGCCUGAAGAGGAGCCUGCGGCAGAUUAGCAGUUGGUGAGGUAAUGGCUCACCAAGGCUUCGAUCUGUAGCUGGUCUGAGAGGACGGCCAGCCACACU
RNAcentral lists this ribosomal RNA (302 nucleotides) under uncultured bacterium. Its description in RNAcentral is "bacterial SSU rRNA". It matches the Rfam family "Bacterial small subunit ribosomal RNA", at positions 32 to 314 of the family's 1533-position model. The record is from RNAcentral.